GAGGUGUAUCAAUAGAGGAGCUCGUUGAAACAUAUGUCCCAUUCUGGGUCAAACCAAGCAGAUAUCUUGAUCAUAUAUUCGUUCCUGUAGAAGACAUCUUCAUGCACUGGUGGUGUAUGGUCGUUGACUUCCCUAACCAAUGUGCUUACUUAUUGGACUUGUGGCCAGAGCCAAACAUGGUCACUGAUAGAGAGAAACUUAUGUGGACAAUGCUAGGGAGGCUUCAUGAGGUGAUGACUUCUCCAGCUUAUGGACCUCCUGCAGUUUACAUUCCUAGCAAGCUUCCUGACUGGCCAAUCCGUAAAGGCCAAGGAAUCCCCAA
Arachis duranensis is the source of this 322-nucleotide long non-coding RNA. RefSeq lists it as uncharacterized. NCBI's taxonomy places the organism in Eukaryota, Viridiplantae, Streptophyta, Magnoliopsida, Fabales, Fabaceae. The transcript has 3 exons. The record is from RefSeq and is a predicted model, not a curated record.